This 87-nucleotide microRNA precursor is filed under the name Agrilus planipennis (emerald ash borer). RNAcentral describes it as "mir-277 microRNA precursor family". It matches the Rfam family "mir-277 microRNA precursor family". Lineage: Eukaryota; Metazoa; Arthropoda; Insecta; Coleoptera; Buprestidae. The record is from Rfam by way of RNAcentral.
GGGUGGUCGGGAUGCGUGCCAGAAGCGCGUUUACAUACAGUGUCAUUCAUCUGUAAAUGCACUAUCUGGUACGACAUUGCGCCAUUC